This 578-nucleotide ribosomal RNA is filed under the name Daldinia loculata. RNAcentral describes it as "eukaryotic LSU rRNA". It matches the Rfam family "Eukaryotic large subunit ribosomal RNA", at positions 9 to 596 of the family's 3401-position model. Lineage: Eukaryota; Fungi; Ascomycota; Sordariomycetes; Xylariales; Hypoxylaceae. The record is from RNAcentral.
GAUUAGGUAGGAAUACCCGCUGAACUUAAGCAUAUCAAUAAGCGGAGGAAAAGAAACCAACAGGGAUUGCCCUAGUAACGGCGAGUGAAGCGGCAACAGCUCAAAUUUGAAAUCUGGCCCUAGCGGUCCGAGUUGUAAUUUGUAGAGGAUGCUUUUGGUUAGGUGCCUUCUGAGUUCCCUGGAACGGGACGCCAGAGAGGGUGAGAGCCCCGUACGGUUGGACACCGAGCCUCUAUAUAGCUCCUUCGACGAGUCGAGUAGUUUGGGAAUGCUGCUCUAAAUGGGAGGUAAAUUUCUUCUAAAGCUAAAUACCGGCCAGAGACCGAUAGCGCACAAGUAGAGUGAUCGAAAGAUGAAAAGUACUUUGAAAAGAGGGUUAAAUAGCACGUGAAAUUGUUGAAAGGGAAGCGUUUGCGACCAGACUUUUUCCAGGCGGAUCAUCCGGUGUUCUCACCGGUGCACUUCGCCUGGUUUAGGCCAGCAUCGGUUCUCUUAGGGGGAUAAAGGCCUGGGGAACGUAGCUCCUUCGGGAGUGUUAUAGCCCCUAGCGUAAUACCCUUCGGGGGACCGAGGAACGC